CCUCUUCUUGCCUCCCCCUUUUCUCCCCCAGACGACGUUGCAGAUGAUGCUCUACCAAGAGUUGGAAGGACUCCCCAGGGAAUCCCACAAGACACUGCGCUUCCUAUGCCUCCUUUCCCUCGUUUAAAAAAUGGGGAUAAGAAGGUUGGCUACUGCUCCGACAGCCCUCACAAUGGAAGAGUAGCACUUCAUUUGUGGGUUAACAAAGGGCAACGCUGAAAUCUCCACUUCCACUAUUGAAUGGAACUGUGUCAUAAUAUCUGUUAGAGGCGUGCAAACUCGGCCACAAGGUCAUGGUCAUACGUUAUUGUUGGUCAAAAGCCGCAGCCCUACCUGAGGCUUUGAGAGAUAUGAACACCAAUGACUUUUCUUUUCCUGACUCCCGAAAUACCAAGAAAAAGCAACUUCCCCAAAUGGACAGAAACAGAAAGUACCCUUGGUUGAACACAGAGGCCUGGUUCCAGCCAUCGUUAGACGUGGGAAGGAACUCAGACCCCCUCUCCUACCUCAUCCCCAACCCCUUCCCCACACGUCACCCUUUCACAGAGAAGGAACCAGAGCCACCAAGGGCUGAGAGAGGACUUGAUAAGGAUUCCAGUCUUCUGUCUCCCCUGUCCCCACUUUUUCCACCACAAAAAUAUGGACAUUUGGAAGAAGAGGAGAAGAGGGAAGGUACACACUGUGCAAAGGAAGAAAAUGGCAGAAAUGCUCUGGAAUCAGGAAUUCAGGAGCAAGAAUGACACUGUGUGCCAGAUGGAAAUGUUGGAUUAGGAGAGCACUUGGAAAGGCAAAUAAUCUGCCAGAGAAAUUAUGGGAUGCCUGCCUUCUGAAAAUGGAGGAAAACUGCAAAAGAGUGGCUCAUUGGUGCUCACUCCUAGGGCUCUGAGCAUCCCAAGAAGCCAACUUGGUCCCAUCGUACAUCCCCUCAGAAGUAGGCAUUCUCCUCUCCACCUACAGCUGUGGCCCAGAUGUGGAGCCUGCAUGUUAUGCCACGCCGUCAACACUGAGUUCUGUCUGCGUCUCCCUGUCACAGAUCUGAUCAGCACCUGACACCUAUCCAUUCUCCAUUUCCCACCUCCCCAAAGCUGCUGGAAAAACUCUGAAAGGUACCUCUGUCACUCAUUAAGCAUCUGAUUAUGUACCUCUUUCUACAACUCCUUUGUUGCUUUGUUUUAAAAUCUAUGGCUCUUUGAAAUCACUCUCCUUCCUUUCACUGCCUAAUGUUUUCAAAGAGGAGUCUACCCCUGCCUCCACUUCCUCAUCUUACAUUUAUUCCUCAAUUCUCUGAACAGAGACCACCAGGGAAACCCCAAAUGUCAACUCCAAUGGUUUCAUUUUCUUACCUCACUACAGCAUUUGGCACCACUCCUUCUUGAAAAUCCCCUCCUUGGCUUCUCCUCCACCUCUCACCAUGAUUUCUGUUUUCUUCUUCUGGCUUCAUUUCUUCAUCAUCUCUUAAACAUUACAAUGCUUGAGAUUUCAGAUAAGGCUGCUUCUCUUCUCCCUGGGCAAUCUCAUCCAUUCCCAUCAUACUGAUCCCUCCCAAACUAUCGCCCAGACUUCUCUCUUGAGCUCCAGAUCUGUAAUUCCAAGUGUUUUCUGUACACCCAUACCUAGAUAAUCAAUCCAAAAGCCUUUUAAUUACUCCAUGACCUAAAAUAAAUUCCUCAUCUUCUCCCAAACUCCUUCUCCUGCCUUCCCUAUCUCAGUUGACAUCAUUACUAUCCACCAGUGGAUAGUAAGAUUUCUAGUAACUUAUAGCCAGAAUAUAUAAAGAACUCCCACAACUCAAAAGUAGUAAAGACAAAGAAUCCAAUUUAAAAAUGGGCAAAAGACUUGAACAGACACUUCAACAAAAAAAAGAUAUGCGCAUGGCCAAUAAACACACGAAAAGGUGCUAACAUGAUGAGUCUUUGGGGAAAUGCAAACUUAAACCAUGAGUUACCACUUUACAGUCAUUAGAAUAGCUAAAAUUCAUACUGAAAACACCAAAUGUUGGCAAGGAUGUGGAGCAACUGAAACACUCAUAUAUUGCUUGUAGGAGUGUAACACGGCACAACAAGUUUGGGAAACUGAUUGGCAGUAUCUAAUAAAGUUAAAUAUACAUCUACUUGUGACCUAGAAAUUCCACUCCUAGGUAUAUAUCCAAGAUAAAUGAAUGUAUAUAUCCCCACAGAAACAUAUAUAUGAAUGACUGUAGCAACUUUAUUUAUAAUAGCCCCAAACUGGAAACACCCUAAAUAUCAUUAAUAGUAGAAUGCAUUUUUUGUUAAAUUGUGGGAUAUUCGUACACUGGAAUGCUACUCAGCAGUAAAAAGGAAUAAAUGACUGAUGCAUUUGUCCACAUAGGUGAAUCUCACAAAAAUGAUGCUGAGCAAAAGAAGCCAGACACAAAAGAAAAUAUAGUGCAUGAUUCCAUUUAUAUGAAGUUCAAGAACCAGCAAACUAACUUAUAGUGAUAGGAGUCAGAAUGAUGGUUAUCUUGGGGGAAGGGAACAAUUUAGCCAGAAAGUGGACAUGAGUGAACUUUCUGGGGUGGUGUUUUUAUCUUGAUGGUGGUUAAAUGGUUUCUGCAUAUGCACAAGUUAGUGAGAUCUUCACUUAAAAGUUACAUAUUCUGCUCUUUGUAAAUUAUAUCCCAGUACAUAAAAUAUGUGAGAAAAGAAAAUCCACAUUGGUCUUCCUGUCACCCAGUGCAGUGGCAUGAUCAAUGCUCCCUGCAGCCUCAAAUUCCUGGGCUCAAGCCAUCCUCCUGCCUCAGGCAUGCCUAG
This 2771-nucleotide long non-coding RNA is filed under the name Homo sapiens (human). RNAcentral's name for it is "non-protein coding lnc-NTN1-2:3". The record is from RNAcentral. Lineage: Eukaryota; Metazoa; Chordata; Mammalia; Primates; Hominidae.